Molecule: ribosomal RNA, 477 nt
Filed under: uncultured bacterium
Lineage: Bacteria
Description: bacterial SSU rRNA
Rfam family: Bacterial small subunit ribosomal RNA
Source: RNAcentral
GACGAACGCUGGCGGCGUGCCUAACACAUGCAAGUCGAGCGGGAAGCUUUUUGAUUGGAUUCGUCCGAACAGAAAGCUGAGAGCGGCAGACGGGUGAGUAACGCGUGAGCAACCUGCCCAUAAGAGGGGGAUAACAACCGGAAACGGUUGCUAAUACCGCAUAUUAUGCAAACUUCGCCUGAAGUUUUCAUGAAAGAUUUUAUCGCUUAUGGAUGGGCUCGCGUCCAAUUAGCUAGUAGGCGGGGUAACGGCCCACCUAGGCGACGAUUGGUAGCCGAACUGAGAGGUUGAUCGGCCACAUUGGGACUGAGACACGGCCCAGACUCCUACGGGAGGCAGCAGUGGGGGAUAUUGCGCAAUGGGGGCAACCCUGACGCAGCAACGCCGCGUGAAGGACGAAGGCUUUCGGGUCGUAAACUUUUGUCAUAGGGGACGAUAAUGACGGUACCCUAUGAGGAAGCCACGGCUAACUACGUG